GACAGAGGGUGCAAACGUUGUUCGGAAUUACUGGGCGUAAAGCGAGUGUAGGCGGUCUGAAAAGUCAGGUGUGAAAGCCCUGGGCUCAACCCAGGAAGUGCACUUGAAACUGCCAGGCUAGAGUAUCGGAGAGGUUGGUGGAAUUCUCGGUGUAGAGGUGAAAUUCGUAGAUAUCGAGAGGAACACCGGUGGCGAAGGCGGAUCUCUGGGCCUUACCUGACGCUGAGGCGCGAAAGCUAGGGGAGCGAACAGG
This 253-nucleotide ribosomal RNA is filed under the name uncultured bacterium. Its description in RNAcentral is "partial 16S ribosomal RNA". It matches the Rfam family "Bacterial small subunit ribosomal RNA", at positions 524 to 776 of the family's 1533-position model. The record is from RNAcentral.